Molecule: ribosomal RNA, 465 nt
Filed under: uncultured bacterium
Lineage: Bacteria
Description: partial 16S ribosomal RNA
Rfam family: Bacterial small subunit ribosomal RNA
Source: RNAcentral
CCUACGGGUGGCAGCAGUGGGGAAUAUUGCGCAAUGGGCGAAAGCCUGACGCAGCGACGCCGCGUGAGGGAUGAAGGUCUUCGGAUCGUAAACCUCUGUCAGCAGGGAAGAACGGUCACUGUGCUAAUCAGCAGUGAAUUGACGGUACCUGCAAAGGAAGCACCGGCUAACUCCGUGCCAGCAGCCGCGGUAAUACGGAGGGUGCGAGCGUUGAUCGGAAUUACUGGGCGUAAAGCGCUCGUAGGCGGUAUGUCAAGUCAAGGGUGAAAUCCCCGCGCUCAACGUGGGAACUGCCUUUGAAACUGGCAAACUGGAGUGUGUGAGAGGAUAGUGGAAUUCCAGGUGUAGGAGUGAAAUGCGUAGAUAUCUGGAGGAACAUCAGUGGCGAAGGCGACUAUCUGGCACAUAACUGACGCUGAGGAGCGAAAGCGUGGGUAGCAAACAGGAUUAGAUACCCGGGUAGUC